CAAAGUCCAAGGCUAAGGAGAUAAAAGAAGCUCUCGAUGGGCUUAUUCAAGACAUUUGGGCUAAGGACACAUCAAGGCUUGAAGAGUUUGAUUCAAAUUCAAGGCUUAUUAAUCUAAUUCAGUUUAUUAGACUUGAAUAAAUUUAAUAUGAGCUUAAUGAACAUAAAGGAGCACAUUGAAGUUUGGGCCUAAUUAGCUCCAGCAAAGAUGGCCCGU
This 216-nucleotide long non-coding RNA is filed under the name Ricinus communis (castor bean). RNAcentral describes it as "long non-coding RNA (RCOM_LNC001344)". Lineage: Eukaryota; Viridiplantae; Streptophyta; Magnoliopsida; Malpighiales; Euphorbiaceae. The record is from RNAcentral.